This 462-nucleotide ribosomal RNA is filed under the name uncultured bacterium. RNAcentral describes it as "partial 16S ribosomal RNA". It matches the Rfam family "Bacterial small subunit ribosomal RNA", at positions 28 to 507 of the family's 1533-position model. The record is from RNAcentral.
GAUGAACGCUGACAGAAUGCUUAACACAUGCAAGUCUUUGGCGAAGCUGUGCUUGCACAGCCUAGCCAAGGCGGACGGGUGAGUAACGCGUAAGGAACUUGCCCUGCAGUCAGGGAUAACAGACGGAAACGACUGAUAAGACCUGGUAAAGUCAGGCGGACUCAUGUCCAGCCUGAUGAAAAGUGAUGCUGCAGGAGAGCCUUGCGUCCUAUUAGCUUGUUGGUGGGGAACGGCCCACCAAGGCGAUGAUAGGUAGCCGGCCUGAGAGGGUGGACGGCCACAAGGGGACUGAGAUACGGCCCUUACUCCUACGGGAGGCAGCAGUGGGGAAUAUUGGACAAUGGGGGCAACCCUGAUCCAGCAAUUCUGUGUGCACGAUGAAGGUUUUCGGAUUGUAAAGUGCUUUCAGCAGGGAAGAAAAAAAUGACGGUACCUGCAGAAGAAGCGACGGCUAAAUACGUG